This is a long non-coding RNA of Helianthus annuus (common sunflower), 2103 nucleotides long. RefSeq lists it as uncharacterized. The record is from RefSeq and is a predicted model, not a curated record. The transcript has 5 exons. NCBI's taxonomy places the organism in Eukaryota, Viridiplantae, Streptophyta, Magnoliopsida, Asterales, Asteraceae.
CACUUUCAAAAUUCAAUCCAUUUCUCUCUCAACUCUCUCUCUAACUCACUUUCUCUCUCUCAAAUCCAGACCAAACCACCGUAUCGUGUUCUUAAUUAUUCAGUUCAUAUGUGUUGAUUAUUAGUUUAUUACCGUAUCCAGACCAAACCACCGUAUCCAGACAAAACCACCGUUGGAUUCACCUAAGAAUUUAACAAGGAUUGGAUACAGUCCUGAACUAGGGAGAAAGAGAGAGAAACGAGAUCUACAGACGGUGAAAUAGAGAAAAAAACGCAAAUGAGAGAGAGGGAAGAGUAACCGCAGCAAGCAAUGGCCAGGCGAUGACAGCUAGCUCAGCCAAAAGAAACGAAAGAGCCGAACGAGUCAAAGCAGAGGACCAAAGAGCCACUAAACUUGGAUGUAACUCCUUACACCGAUAAGAUCAUCGCUGAAUACAUCUGGUUGACUUACUAAGAGGUCAGCUGCGAAGAGUAAGAGAAAGAUAUAGUAAACCCCUAAAUUCAACAUCGGAUGAAGAAGAUCUUCAUCUUGCAGAGACCAAUACUAACAUCAAUGACCAAGAAGCUGAAACAAAGGUGGAAGCUGUGUCGAAAGAGAAUCUUUCGGAAGGGUGUAAUCAAAAUGAAACGGUGUAUCGGUUGGAAACUUCAAAGAAUUCAUCUGAAAAAUUAGUUCAUCAGCAAAAGCAUAUCUGCAAAAUCAGUUUUUACUCGCUGCGAAAUCAGUCCGUUCACGGAAAGAUGGUGGUUGAGGGAGGUUCCGACAAACCGAGGUAUAUCGGGCGAGGUUGAUGAAUAAACAAUUCAAAAAUAUGAGAAAGAAGCCAAGGAUAAGAGUAGAGAGAGCUGGUAAGCCAUUUAACAUAAAUUUGAACACACUAAUAAAAGUUAGAUAACGAUCUAAAUUUUUACGUUCACUUUUACUUUCAAAUUUUUUGUUGUUUUCUUUUCUGAUGUUGGGGGAUAUGCGCUGGACUCACAUCACGGAUUUGUGAUUCAGUAUGGAUUUAACAGAAGGUACAUAAUCCUUUCGACUUUGCAGUGUGCUAUUGUAGGAUUUGAUAUUAGAUUCAAGUUUCACUCUGGAUAAAUUUAAGAUGUACUAAAACCAUAGGAUUUGAUGCUAAUAAUCUUCUUAAUAUUCAGAGUGACCGUUUGAAGAAAGUUUUAGAGCAUUUGAAUUCCUUGUCAUACCAGUUUUUGUUGAAUUAACGUUAACGGCUAAUCUUAGGUGAAACAAUGUUUCAAAUCACGGAUAGCGUUAAAACAGUGUUUUGAAACCACUUUUGAAACGACUGUUAGGUUAAAGAGUGUUUUGAAACCACUGUUAGGUUAAACAGUGUUUGAAACUACUGUUGGCUUAAACAGUGUUUUGAAACGAUUGUUAGGUUAAACAAUGUUUUGAAACCACUUUUGAAACGAUUGUUAGGUUAAAAAGUGUUUUGAAACCACUGUUAGGUUAAACAGUGUUUGAAACCACUGUUUGCUUAAACAGUGUUUUGAAACGACUGUUAGGUUAAACAGUGGUUUCAAAACACUGUUUUAAUGGGUAUAGAAGACAACUUCAUCAUACGACUCAAAUCUCGGUUUCUUUUUAGAUGCCAUUGCCACACUUCAGAACUGUAUUUGGUUUUGAAUUUAUCGACCUCAAAAGGUAACUUGGAUUUUUGAAUUAAUUUUCUUUGUUAUUGUUGGCAUAUAUCUUUGCACUUUGCGCUGCAUAUGGUGUCUUAUGUUCCCCUGAUUUAUAUGAUUUCACAGAACGACAGGCAAGGUUGAAGCAUAAAGCUUAGCCCAAGCCCACAACAGUCGAGGUAAAGACUGAGACCCGAGCUCGAUCAAACCAUAUAACAUGGUAAAGUUAGGCAAAGAUCUAGCUAAAGCCAAACAGUUGCAAGGAGGGACAUACUACACAAUAAUGGCUGAAACACGAGGGCAACGGAAGUGUUUGUUAAAGGACUUACACACAUGAGUCGGACGAUGAUGUUAUGUUGGUUAAACUACCCAUGUUUUACAGGGGUUUUAAUGAAAGCUCUUUUUAUGUAUACCAUUCAUACAUAAUCCAUUUUUAUGUAAACCUUAUAAAAUGUAAAAUCAUUCAUUG